RNAcentral lists this long non-coding RNA (219 nucleotides) under Elaeis guineensis (African oil palm). Its description in RNAcentral is "long non-coding RNA (EGUI_LNC008710)". Lineage: Eukaryota; Viridiplantae; Streptophyta; Magnoliopsida; Arecales; Arecaceae. The record is from RNAcentral.
GUCUUGCUCAAGUUCUUCCUGGAUUUGGACUGCCCUCGUCAUGAUCUUCUGUCACUUCAUCUACCGCCUCCUACUCCUAUAAAAACUACCAAUGUUGAGCUGCCGAUACCUGAGCUCGAAGCCGAACUUUUCCUCUUAAGAACCUAGUUCUGGAGUAUCACCAUGGUGACUUCGUCCAUCUUGAUGGUGCUCUUCUCCACUAGAAGAGCAGUCAUCAAG